GGAGAGGUGGCCGAGUGGUCGAAGGCGCACGCCUGGAACGCGUGUAGGCGGUAACCCGUCUCCAGGGUUCGAAUCCCUGUCUCUCCGCCA
RNAcentral lists this transfer RNA (90 nucleotides) under Paracoccaceae bacterium. RNAcentral's name for it is "Rhodobacteraceae bacterium tRNA-Ser". It matches the Rfam family "tRNA". From Rfam's summary of the family: Transfer RNA (tRNA) molecules are approximately 80 nucleotides in length. Lineage: Bacteria; Pseudomonadati; Pseudomonadota; Alphaproteobacteria; Rhodobacterales; Paracoccaceae. The record is from RNAcentral.